Molecule: small nucleolar RNA, 166 nt
Organism: Mucor circinelloides
Lineage: Eukaryota; Fungi; Mucoromycota; Mucoromycetes; Mucorales; Mucoraceae
Rfam family: small nucleolar RNA snR35
Source: Rfam
UCUGUGCGGCGAGCGCCCCUGAAAACUUGAUGUGUUACUCGCUAACUCUUUCUAAUGAGUCGGUUUUGAGUGUCAACCCAGGUUGAGAAUGAGUUCGAAUGUCUUAGUGCCUAUCUGUUAUCUUGUCCCUGACUAGGGUAACAGAGGGCUGGUGAUUCCUACAUCU